This is a long non-coding RNA of Pygocentrus nattereri (red-bellied piranha), 1010 nucleotides long. RefSeq lists it as uncharacterized. The transcript is spliced from 4 exons. The record is from RefSeq and is a predicted model, not a curated record. NCBI's taxonomy places the organism in Eukaryota, Metazoa, Chordata, Actinopteri, Characiformes, Serrasalmidae.
GCUCGAACAUGGCCUGGGCCUUUUCCCAGACCAGGACACUAAGAUGCAGCCCAUAAUCGUAUUUAAACUGCAAGUCACUGUUGUCGGAAAAAAACCUCAUAUCUCCAAAUCUGACAACUUUACAAGAGAAGGAAAAAACAUACAUAACUUUUAAUGUCAGACCGGUUGGGUGAGGACAAGUCAUUCAAGGCCUGAAAGUCUGAUGUACAUCACUAACUGAACAUGAGCGUCAGCCUGAACAAUGGAAUGAAAGAAAUGGCAAAUGGCAGCAGCAACUGUUUACCAGCCUCUCAAUGUGAAACUGCUUCAAGAUUGAAGAUGUUGAGGUGGUGUGAUUGAUCUUUCUCAAGUCUGGAGAGAAAAGCGUGGACUUCUACUUGGUGUGAAGUUCUGGCUCUCACUACUCACAGUAGAUGCUCAAACCACCUUGUUCUUUAUGAAUAAAAGAUGGAACAGAUGGUAAGGGGGAGGAAUGUGAGUGGCUGAACACAGCAUUGACGGGUAAUUGAAACAAGGAAAAGUAAAGUCAGAAGUGUUUGUAUGUGGUUGGCACCUCCUGCACCUGCUGCACCGCACUGCUGGCACCUGCCUUCUCAAUGUGGAGGAGAGGAGUUACCAUCACACUUUCUCCAAAAUGCAAAUGACAAAUGGUUGUGUGCAAAGGUUUGGGCACCCUUGAUUAAUAUAGAUGAUUUGUUGGUGGAAUUUGGGGGAGAGGGACACACGAUUUAGCCUGUGCUAUGACACAGAUAUGACAGAUAUUGUUGUUUGUUUGUUUGUUUGUUUUUUUAAAUCCCAAAAUGUUAAACUCAAAUCAUUUCAUUUCCUGUAGAGGAUGUAUGCUCACUUCAAAAGUCAAUGAGCAACACCCAUUUUGCAAGAAUAGUGCCAAUGAUGGCCCUCAAAUCUUGUUAGUAAUAAUUAGGGCAGAUGCUUAUGUUACAUACAUACACAGAAGCUUCAGUGUAACUGUUUAAUGAAAAAGUUGGGAUGCUGUGCAGAAUGUAAAU